AGGGAAGAAUGCUAACGUGGAGAGGAUGGGAUCUGAAUCGUGGAUGCAGAAGGAUGAACUCGAUUUGGAUGAAGGGGAGGAAGGCAUGCAUGAGAUGAGCUUUGGAACGGCUGGCAGCUGGGACUGGGAACGUAUCACGAAUGAACUGUAAGAUCUUGGAGGAUACUGAGCCGUUGGGAGGAGAUCAAUUCGGCUCUAUUUCGUUGGAACACGGGAGAAGGGGAGGAUGUUCGGUUCGGUUGGCAGUUGAGAUGAAGCUGCGAUGGGAAGACUUGGGAAUCCAGCUGGGAUCAGUCCGGAAGAAGAGGGAAUGAAUUCAUGAGCUGAGAUGCAGGGGAUACCGUGAGUUGGUUUGAACUUUGUUUUAUUAAGCUGGGAGGUUUU
Molecule: long non-coding RNA, 384 nt
Filed under: Phoenix dactylifera (date palm)
Lineage: Eukaryota; Viridiplantae; Streptophyta; Magnoliopsida; Arecales; Arecaceae
Description: long non-coding RNA (PDAC_LNC020173)
Source: RNAcentral